Molecule: ribosomal RNA, 492 nt
Filed under: uncultured bacterium
Lineage: Bacteria
Description: partial 16S ribosomal RNA
Rfam family: Bacterial small subunit ribosomal RNA
Source: RNAcentral
AGUGAACGCUGGCGGUAGGCCUAACACAUGCAAGUCGAACGGCAGCACAGUAAGAGCUUGCUCUUACGGGUGGCGAGUGGCGGACGGGUGAGGAAUACAUCGGAAUCUACUUUUUCGUGGGGGAUAACGUAGGGAAACUUACGCUAAUACCGCAUACGACCUACGGGUGAAAGCAGGGGAUCUUCGGACCUUGCGCGAUUGAAUGAGCCGAUGUCGGAUUAGCUAGUUGGCGGGGUAAAGGCCCACCAAGGCGACGAUCCGUAGCUGGUCUGAGAGGAUGAUCAGCCACACUGGAACUGAGACACGGACCAGAGUCCUACGGGAGGCAGCAGUGGGGAAUAUUGGACAAUGGGCGCGAGCCUGAUCCAGCCAUACCGCGUGGGUGAAGAAGGCCUUCGGGUUGUAAAGCCCUUUUGUUGGGAAAGAAAAGCAGCAGGUUAAUACCCCGCUGUUCUGACGGUACCCAAAGAAUAAGCACCGGCUAACUUCGUG